Molecule: ribosomal RNA, 371 nt
Filed under: uncultured organism
Description: bacterial SSU rRNA
Rfam family: Bacterial small subunit ribosomal RNA
Source: RNAcentral
CGUAGGGUGCGAGCGUUAAUCGGAAUUACUGGGCGUAAAGCGUGCGCAGGCGGUUUGUUAAGAUAGGCGUGAAAUCCCCGGGCUCAACCUGGGAACUGCGCUUAUGACUGGCAAGCUAGAGUACGGCAGAGGGGGUGGAAUUCCACGUGUAGCAGUGAAAUGCGUAGAGAUGUGGAGGAACACCAAUGGCGAAGGCAGCCCCCUGGGUCGAUACUGACGCUCAUGCACGAAAGCGUGGGUAGCAAACAGGAUUAGAUACCCUGGUAGUCCACGCCCUAAACGAUGUCAACUAGGUGUUGGGAGGGUAAAACCUUUUAGUACCGGAGCUAACGCGUGAAGUUGACCGCCUGGGGAGUACGGCCGCAAGGUUA